AUGAAGAGAAAAAGAAAGAAAUUUCAAGAAAACCUAGGGCAACGGAGAAGAAAGAGUAAAAAUCUGAGAGAUCUCACCAACUUAAACUCAAAAGCAGCGCCUCCAACACCGGUCAUCGUCACAAAAAUCGCCAUCGGAUCUGCUAGGGUUUCGUUUCUCCCUUUCAAAUCUACAUGCUACCGUUCAACAUCUACAAAAUCAAGUCACAAUUUAGUAAAGAGGAGAGGAGGACGAAGUGAUUGA
Non-coding RNA from Vicia faba (fava bean), 243 nucleotides. The record is from the annotation of a GenBank genome assembly. NCBI's taxonomy places the organism in Eukaryota, Viridiplantae, Streptophyta, Magnoliopsida, Fabales, Fabaceae.